GAAACGACAUGAAGCCACAACCGGUAAUAAGAGAGUCGAACGGGGAUAAAAAUGGAAAUCGAAGAGGCUAUAUAAAUAACAAUCUUCACCGUUCAAUUAGGGUUAAGCUCAGACGGAACGAAUGAGGGUGAAGGGAGAUUGGAAUUUCUCAGGGUGGUUGCCUCUCCCUUUUACUCAAUGAUUUCAUCCUUUAUCUUCCAAAUCAACAACCCUUGUGUGUGUGUUUGUUUGUAUGUUACAUCCGAUACAUACGUAUAAAGAGAGAGAUGGAUAUAUAGCAUGAAUUCCAGUGGAUCUAUGAAUACCUUCGCCCGGAUCUGCAGCUUCUUCUUCUUCUCUUCUUGUUCUCUGGUUAUAUAUAUAUAUAUCCUGUUGGCGCUGCAGUUUCUUCUACUGUUGUUUAUAAUGGACCAUCGUAUUGCUAAUCUUAAGUGUAUGUCUGGCUAAGCUUAAAUUAUUUACUUGUAAGUAAAAAUAAGUAAGCUUUUAAGAGGCUGUGAUGAUAUUUGUCUUUGUUCCUCUGAGCUGAUGAAUCAGGCAGUGAGAUGAUCCGUAUCUUGGCGGGGCAACCCGGGUGGUAUCUGAGUCGGGUUUUGUCCUUCUUUCUCUUAUGCAGCCGGUGAUUUUGCAGCCAUGGCGUGAUCGGCCUCUUGCCCGACUCAAAAACAGAUCUGAGCCUCACUUUUUUUUUUUUUACUGACUUUGUUAAAUUGGG
This 715-nucleotide long non-coding RNA is filed under the name Olea europaea subsp. europaea. Lineage: Eukaryota; Viridiplantae; Streptophyta; Magnoliopsida; Lamiales; Oleaceae. The record is from RNAcentral.